GGUGGCGAGUGGCGAACGGGUGAAUAAAGUAUCGGAACUUGCCCAAUCGUGGGGGAUAACGUAUCGAAAGUUACGCUAAUACCGCAUACGAUCUAUGGAUGAAAAGCGGGGGAUCGCAAGACCUCGCGCGAUUGGAGCGGCCGAUAUCAGAUUAGGUAGUUGGUGGGGUAAAGGCUCACCAAGCCGACGAUCUGUAGCUGGUCUGAGAGGACGAUCAGCCACACUGGGACUGAGACACGGCCCAGACUCCUACGGGAGGCAGCAGUGGGGAAUUUUGGACAAUGGGCGAAAGCCUGAUCCAGCCAUGCCGCGUGCAGGAAGAAGGCCUUCGGGUUGUAAACCGCUUUUGUAAGGGACGAAAAGGUUUGGCCUAAUAAGGCGAGCUCAUGACGGUACCGUAAGAAUAAGCACCGGCUAACUACGUGCCAGCAGCCGCGGUAAUACGUAGGGUGCGAGCGUUAAUCGGAAUUACUGGGCGUAAAGCGUGCGCAGGCGGUUAUGUAAGUCAGAUGUGAAAUCCCCGGGCUCAACCUGGGAACUGCAUUAGUGACUGCAUAGCUAGAGUACGGCAGAGGGGGAUGGAAUUCCACGUGUAGCAGUGAAAUGCGUAGAUAUGCGGAGGAACACCGAUGGCGAAGGCAAUCCCCUGGGCCAGACUGACGCUCAGCA
Molecule: ribosomal RNA, 669 nt
Filed under: bacterium ER-TE-56
Lineage: Bacteria
Description: bacterial SSU rRNA
Rfam family: Bacterial small subunit ribosomal RNA
Source: RNAcentral